RNAcentral lists this non-coding RNA (24 nucleotides) under Mus musculus (house mouse). Lineage: Eukaryota; Metazoa; Chordata; Mammalia; Rodentia; Muridae. The record is from RNAcentral.
UGGAAGUGUCCUGUUGCCCAACCC